This 565-nucleotide ribosomal RNA is filed under the name uncultured archaeon. RNAcentral's name for it is "bacterial SSU rRNA". It matches the Rfam family "Archaeal small subunit ribosomal RNA", at positions 317 to 889 of the family's 1478-position model. The record is from RNAcentral.
GUGAUUCGGGUGCAGCAGGCGCGAAAACUUCACAAUGGGAGAAAUCCCGAUGAGGGAAUACCAAGUGCCAGCACUUUUGUGUUGGCUGUUCUCUUGUCUAAAAAACAGGAGAAGUAAGGGCCGGGUAAGACGGGUGCCAGCCGCCGCGGUAAUACCCGCGGCCCGAGUGGUGGUCGAUAUUAUUGAGCCUAAAACGUCCGUAGCCGGUCUUGUAAAUCCUUGGGUAAAUCGGCCAGCUUAACUGUCCGAAGUCCGGGGAGACUGCAAGACUUGGGAUCGGGAGAGGUCAGAGGUACUUCUGGGGUAGGGGUAAAAUCCUGUAAUCCUGGAAGGACCACCGGUGGCGAAGGCGUCUGACUAGAACGAAUUCGACGGUGAGGGACGAAGCCCUGGGGCGCAAACGGGAUUAGAUACCCCGGUAGUCCAGGGUGUAAACGCUGCGGGCUUGGUGUUGGGGGUCCUUUGUGGGCGCCCAGUGCCGGAGAGAAGUUGUUAAGCCUGCUGCUUGGGGAGUACGUCCGCAAGGAUGAAACUUAAAGGAAUUGGCGGGGGAGCACAAUCGAAU